AAGUCCUACCACAACUGGAAAGGGGGAUUCUAUUCGUUUUACAGUUUUACGGAGGAAGAAACUAAAGCUGAGAAGGACAAAGAGACCUUCCCAAGGUCAUGCAGCUAGUAAGUGGCUGUCUCAGAACCACACCAGCCAGACUCCAGAAAUCCCGUUGCCCAGGCCCAAAGUGUCACUACUGACCAUCUCCUCCUCCCUGGAAAUCUCAGUCAACACUGUCAUGGGGUCAACCUCAGAGAGGAAAGAGUGUCCCCUGCUUCUGCUCAGUGUCCAGGAGUAUCCCGAACAGAAGGUAGGGCCCUCUGACAAUGUCAGCCACCAGACCAGGCUCCAAGAAGUGGCCAAGCUCCAAGAGGAUGGGUGAAAAACACUCUGAA
RNAcentral lists this long non-coding RNA (377 nucleotides) under Felis catus (domestic cat). Its description in RNAcentral is "lncRNA (ENSFCAG00000046818.1)". Lineage: Eukaryota; Metazoa; Chordata; Mammalia; Carnivora; Felidae. The record is from RNAcentral.